CCCCUUCGGGGGACAAAGUGACAGGUGGUGCAUGGUUGUCGUCAGCUCGUGUCGUGAGAUGUUGGGUUAAGUCCCGCAACGAGCGCAACCCUUAAGCUUAGUUGCCAUCAUUAAGUUGGGCACUCUAAGUUGACUGCCGGUGACAAACCGGAGGAAGGUGGGGAUGACGUCAAAUCAUCAUGCCCCUUAUGAUUUGGGCUACACACGUGCUACAAUGGACAAUACAAAGGGCAGCGAAACCGUGAGGUCAAGCAAAUCCCAUAAAGUUGUUCUCAGUUCGGAUUGUAGUCUGCAACUCGACUACAUGAAGCUGGAAUCGCUAGUAAUCGUAGAUCAGCAUGCUACGGUGAAUACGUUCCCGGGUCUUGUACACAC
This 375-nucleotide ribosomal RNA is filed under the name uncultured bacterium. RNAcentral describes it as "bacterial SSU rRNA". It matches the Rfam family "Bacterial small subunit ribosomal RNA", at positions 1014 to 1390 of the family's 1533-position model. The record is from RNAcentral.